Molecule: unclassified non-coding RNA, 305 nt
Filed under: plant metagenome
Description: partial contains 5.8S ribosomal RNA, internal transcribed spacer 2, and large subunit ribosomal RNA
Rfam family: 5.8S ribosomal RNA (bases 1-105)
Source: RNAcentral
GAAAUGCGAUAAGUAAUGUGAAUUGCAGAAUUCAGUGAAUCAUCGAAUCUUUGAACGCACAUUGCGCCCGCCAGUAUUCUGGCGGGCAUGCCUGUUCGAGCGUCAUUUCAACCGUCAAGCCCCCGGCUUGUGUUGGGGACCUGCGGCUGCCCGCAGGCCCUGAAAAACAGUGGCGGGCUCGCUGUCACACCGAGCGUAGUAGCAUACAUUCUCGCUCAGGGCGUGCUGCGGGUUCCGGCCGUUAAACGACCUUCAUAACCCAAGGUUGACCUCGGAUCAGGUAGGAAGACCCGCUGAACUUAAGC